AGAUGCCGUCGAUAUCGACCCUGCAGCAGUACGGCCCGCUGUCCGUCCGCCUCACAUUCAGGAUGUCCAGGUCCAUCUGUCCGUCCAGGACAUCCCCCGUCAGCCGGUACCGGUCGGACACCUGCAGCACCAGAUGUUGCUGCACCAGAACGUCCCACAGCCACGACCCCAGCAGACCCGACUCAGGCCGAACCGCUUCACCGAGUACUGACAGGACAGAGAGGCCACACCACCCUCCGUGACUUUAAAAGAGGACGAAGAGGAGGGUGAUGAAGGUCUGAGGCGUUGCCGGCGACACGGCGGCCAUCCUGUAACUGAGUGUGUCCACUGUCCAGCCAGACGACAACAACAGGACAGUGUGAGUCUGUGACGGAGGUGGGAGGAGGGGCGACACACACUGUGUUGGUGUGUGGUCGUGUGUCUGUGUGCAUUUGUGUGAUUCGCUGAAUGUGUUUCCGUUGAUUCGCCAGCCAUUCAAUCUCGCAACACAAGAACGUGUGUGAAGAUAUUUUUAUAGACAGACUGCAGUUUACAGCAUUGUACAGUUACUAUAAUACAGUUUACAGUGUUAUACAGUUAAUAUAAUACAAUUUACAGUGUUAUACAGUUACUAUAAUACAGUUUACAGUGUUAUAUAGUUAAUAUAAUACAGUUUAUGGUGUUAUACAGUUAAU
Amphiprion ocellaris (clown anemonefish) is the source of this 674-nucleotide long non-coding RNA. RefSeq lists it as uncharacterized. The transcript has 3 exons. Lineage: Eukaryota; Metazoa; Chordata; Actinopteri; Pomacentridae. The record is from RefSeq and is a predicted model, not a curated record.